RNAcentral lists this ribosomal RNA (468 nucleotides) under uncultured bacterium. RNAcentral's name for it is "partial 16S ribosomal RNA". It matches the Rfam family "Bacterial small subunit ribosomal RNA", at positions 28 to 507 of the family's 1533-position model. The record is from RNAcentral.
GAUGAACGCUGGCGGUGUGCUUAACACAUGCAAGUCGAACGGCAAGGCACUGAUUUUGUGGGGUGCUCGAGUGGCGAACGGGUGAGUAACACGUGAGCAACCUGCUCUUGAUUUUGGGAUAACUUCAGGAAAGUGGGGUUACUCUAGGAUCGCAGACCCUGCUGCAUGGUGGGGGUUGGAUAGUUUCGGCGGUUGGGGAUGGACUCGCGGCUUAUCAGUUUGCUGGUGGGGUAGUGGCUUACCCAGGAUUUGACGGGUAGCCGGCCUGUGAGGGUGACCGGCGACAAUGGUACUGAGAUACGGCCCAGUCUCCUACAGUGGGCAGCAGGGGGGAAUAUUGCACAAUGAGCCGAAGCCUGAUACGACAACGCCGCGUUCGGGAUGACGGCCUUCGGGUAGAGAACCGCUUUCGCCUAUGACGAAGCUGGUGUGACGGUAAUGGAUGAAUAAGCACCGGCUAACUACGUG